Molecule: long non-coding RNA, 143 nt
Organism: Oxyura jamaicensis (ruddy duck)
Lineage: Eukaryota; Metazoa; Chordata; Aves; Anseriformes; Anatidae
Exons: 3
Source: RefSeq, a predicted model, not a curated record
CACAUAGGAAUUUCCUGUGAUUCUCUCACUGUAUUUAGCGUUGGUGCAGCCUCAUCUCAAGUACUGUGUGCAGUUCUGAGCUCCACAAUAAAAAAGUAUGUUAAGAUACUUGAAAGCAUCCAGAGGAGGGCAACAAAGCUGGU